This 701-nucleotide ribosomal RNA is filed under the name uncultured bacterium. Its description in RNAcentral is "bacterial SSU rRNA". It matches the Rfam family "Bacterial small subunit ribosomal RNA", at positions 56 to 756 of the family's 1533-position model. The record is from RNAcentral.
UGCAGUCGAGGGGCAGCGGGAGUACAAUACUUGCCGGCGACCGGCGCACGGGUGCGUAACACGUAUACAAUCUGCCUCCAACAUGGGGAUAGCCCGGAGAAAUUCGGAUUAAUACCCAGUAACAAAUUUUAUGGCAUCAUAAGAUUUUGAAAGCUACGGCGGUUGGAGAUGAGUAUGCGUCUGAUUAGCUAGUAGGUGAGGUAACGGCUCACCUAGGCAACGAUCAGUAGGGGAUCUGAGAGGACUACCCCCCACACUGGUACUGAGACACGGACCAGACUCCUACGGGAGGCAGCAGUAAGGAAUAUUGGACAAUGCCCGCAAGGGUGAUCCAGCCAUGCCGCGUGCAGGAAGAAGGCCCUAUGGGUCGUAAACUGCUUUUGAACAAGAGAAAACCCUUCUACGUGUAGAAGGCUGAUAGUAUUGUUAGAAUAAGCAUCGGCUAACUUCGUGCCAGCAGCCGCGGUAAGACGAAGGAUGCAAGCGUUAUCCGGAUUCAUUGGGUUUAAAGGGUGCGUAGGCGGCCCGAUAAGUCAGUGGUGAAAGCCUGUUGCUUAACAACAGAACUGCCAUUGAUACUGUCGGGCUUGAGUACAGUUGCUGUGGGCGGAAUAUGACAUGUAGUGGUGAAAUACAUAGAGAUGUCAUAGAACACCGAUUGCGAAUGCAGCUCACAAAACUGUAACUGACGCUGAGCACGA